Molecule: ribosomal RNA, 404 nt
Filed under: Spondylus wrightianus
Lineage: Eukaryota; Metazoa; Mollusca; Bivalvia; Pectinida; Spondylidae
Description: partial 16S ribosomal RNA
Rfam family: Bacterial large subunit ribosomal RNA
Source: RNAcentral
UUUCCCGGUGGGUGUACGACUUAAACGGGGGCAAAUGCGUCCAAAGGUAGCUAAAUACUGGACCAGUAAUUGUUCAUACAUUAAAAGGGCUGACGAGUCUCUAACUGUCUCUAUUUAACUCGUUGGAAAUUUAGUUGGAAGUGCAAACGCUUUCAUGGGUGAGAAAGACGAGAAGACCCUAUGAAGUUUGUGUGAGGGCAGAAGGCUUUUGCUGGGGCAGCAGGAGAGCAGAAUGAGACUCGACCGAUACUGAUAAGUAUGAUCCAUUAGAGACGAUCAGGAGAAGGAGUUACUCUAGGGAUAACAGCGUAAUUGCCCAUUGAGGCCUUAUCAUUGGGCAAGGUUGCGACCUCGAUGUUGGCUCUGGGUAUCCUUGGACUUAGGAGGUCCAAAUGGUUGGUUUG